RNAcentral lists this ribosomal RNA (271 nucleotides) under uncultured bacterium. RNAcentral describes it as "partial 16S ribosomal RNA". It matches the Rfam family "Bacterial small subunit ribosomal RNA", at positions 85 to 354 of the family's 1533-position model. The record is from RNAcentral.
CUGAUGGCGACCGGCGUACGGGUGAGUAACGCGUAUCCAACCUGCCCCUUACUAUGGGACAGCCCGUCGAAAGGCGGAUUAAUACCGUAUGUUGUCAUGUUGAUGCAUAUUUUCAUGACCAAAGGCUUCGGCCGGUAAAGGAUGGGGAUGCGUCUGAUUAGCUUGCCGGCGGGGUAACGGCCCACCGGGGCGACGAUCAGUAGGGGUUCUGAGAGGAAGGUCCCCCACAUUGGAACUGAGACACGGUCCAAACUCCUACGGAAGGCAGCAG